Molecule: RNA transcript, 2004 nt
Organism: Tripterygium wilfordii
Lineage: Eukaryota; Viridiplantae; Streptophyta; Magnoliopsida; Celastrales; Celastraceae
Gene name: shaggy-related protein kinase zeta-like
Exons: 13
Source: RefSeq, a predicted model, not a curated record
GAGGAAAGGAGAGAAGAAAAUAAAGGAAAAAUAAUCAGAGAGAGAGAAAGCAAAGGUGAAAGCUGUAGAGCACAUGGAGUGCGGGGUCUGACCAAACCAUCAUCAACCACCACCACCACCACCACAAUAAUACUGAAGCCCACACUAUGUCCCACUCUUCCUGAGCCACCGCCACAACCACCUGCCUCGGCGCUCCGAUUAUGGACUCUGAUAAGGAAAUGUCAUCUGCUGUUAUCCAGGAGAAUGAUGCUGUUACUGGUCACAUAAUAUCCACCACCAUUGGAGGCAAAAAUGGGGAACCUAAGCAGACCAUCAGUUAUAUGGCAGAGUGUCUUGUAGGUACUGGAUCAUUCGGAAUUGUUUUCCAGGCAAAAUGCCUGGAAACUGGAGAGACAGUGGCUAUUAAGAAGGUCUUACAGGACCGGCGGUAUAAAAAUCGUGAACUAGAGUUGAUGCGCUUGAUGAAUCACUCGAAUAUUGUUUCCCUGAAGCACUGUUUCUUUUCUACAACGAGUAAUGAUGAACUUUUUCUCAAUUUGGUUAUGGAAUAUGUCCCUGAGACCAUUUAUCGUGCUGUAAAGCAUUACUGCAGUAUGAACCAGAGGAUGCCACUUAUCUAUGUAAAACUUUAUACAUAUCAGAUCUUCAGAGGACUGGCAUAUAUUCAUUCUGUUCCUGGGGUUUGCCAUAGAGAUGUUAAGCCUCAAAAUUUGUUGGUUGAUCCUCUCACGCACCAGGUUAAGCUAUGUGACUUUGGAAGUGCGAAAGUAUUGGUCAAGGGAGAAGCAAACAUCUCAUAUAUAUGCUCUCGUUAUUACCGAGCUCCAGAACUCAUAUUUGGUGCAACAGAGUAUACAACGUCAAUUGAUAUUUGGUCAGCUGGUUGUGUCCUUGCUGAGCUUCUUCUAGGCCAGCCCUUGUUUCCAGGAGAAAAUGCAGUGGGUCAACUUGUAGAGAUCGUCAAGAUUCUGGGUACUCCCACUCGAGAAGAAAUUCGCUGCAUGAAUCCUAAUUAUACAGACUUCAGGUUCCCUCAGAUGAAAGCUCAUCCUUGGCACAAAGUUUUCCACAAGCGAAUGCCUCCUGAAGCAAUUGACCUCGCUUCUAGGCUUCUCCAAUAUUCCCCAAGUCUUCGCUGCACUGCGCUUGAAGCAUGUGCACAUCCUUUCUUUGAUGAGCUCCGUGAGCCCAAUGCCCGCCUUCCUAAUGGUCGCCCUUUACCCCCACUUUUCAACUUCAAACAGGAACCUUAUGGUGUGCCUAUGAAUUUACCAUUUGGUAUUUUCUCAUAAAAAACAAUAAAUACUUUCACACUCUAUGCACACAUCAUAACUAAGUCUCAAACAACCAGACACUGGCAAUGAUAGACAUUCAGAUGAUAGCUGAUUCAUGAAAUUGUAUUUCAACCAUGGGGUCAACCGUAGGGCAGUUGAAGGAUUGUCGUUUGGCAGGAGCCUCUCCUGAACUGAUUAACAGGCUCAUACCUGAGCAUGUGAGGCGACAGGCUGGUCUUAGCUUACCACAUCCAGGACGGACGUAAAAGGGGAGGCAUGAAAUAAGGAAUCAAUUCUAGGAGUGGAUGUUUAUGAAACAAGGGAUUACCUUGGUGUGGUCAAUAUAAUCAAUGCGUUAUCAGUGGAUUCUCUCGCCCUGUGAAGAUAUAUAUACACAUACCAGCUUUUUGGCUUGGAAAUUGGUGAUCAUCUACCGUGGCUUUGUACAUUGUUUUGAUCGAAAAGUGUCCAUAAAAGCUAGCUAUUUAGGGGGUCAAAAAAAAUCCCUGCUGGAGUUCGAGGGCUCAGUCAUAGUUUGGCUUGCUCUUUCCUAAGAUGUUGUAUUCUCUGUUGUUUCUCAAUUCUCAUGUUGUGGACAACCAUAUUUCACGAUUUAUGGUUUACUGAAAUAUUUCCCUUCACCAUUGCACUAGGUUGAUUCAAUUCCUUUUCUUUUAAGGAGUAUUUUACAAGAAGAUAUUUAGAAAACGCAGUCUGAGAACUGGCUAGU